This is a long non-coding RNA of Canis lupus familiaris (dog), 676 nucleotides long. RefSeq lists it as uncharacterized. The record is from RefSeq and is a predicted model, not a curated record. The transcript has 6 exons. NCBI's taxonomy places the organism in Eukaryota, Metazoa, Chordata, Mammalia, Carnivora, Canidae.
CAUUUUCUUUGCCAGUGGAAAUAGCCUUUUCACCCACUCUGAGGGGAUUAAUUCUGCAUUGCCUGAGGAACCAGUAGUGGCUUCCCCUGAGGAUAUCACACUGGUCCAUUAUGUUGAUUUGGCUGAGGGAACAAGAAGUGGCAAUGACUCUAGACUUAUUGGUAUGCUAAGUGGUGGUGAAGCUUCCAAUCUAGCCCAUACAUUACAGUGGGCCACGUGACUGAACUAAAGGAAAUUUUACUAGCACAAAAAAUUGUGAGUUUUAUCCCUCUUGGGGAGGAGGCCUCCCAGGGAUCCUAGCCUGCUCAUAGAAAACCAACUGCACACAUUUCACAGGCUCUCUGGUGAAGGGAUGCUCACUACAGGCAUAUGUUGCAGAAUGUCACUUCGUCCACCUCUCAGCUAUCAGAAUAAUGGGAAUGCCAUUCAAUUCAGCAAGGGCACAGCUACUAGAAGGCAAGACUGUAAGACCUUCCUCAGAGCCAUCUACUGAUUGGAGCACCUUCGAUGCUGAGAACCUUGUUUUAAAAAGCUGCCAAGAAGUCUGGAUGAUUUUAUGGAAUGCAAAAAGGGAGGAUUUCAGCAGCACACAACUCCUAUUCCUCAAAAAGCCAUUAUGGAAGAAUUACCACACUCCACAGAGUAUCAGCUUUUUACCGUGACAACAUCUCCCCAG